GAUGAACGCUGGCGGCGUGCCUAAUACAUGCAAGUCGAGCGAACAGACGAGGAGCUUGCUCCUCUGACGUUAGCGGCGGACGGGUGAGUAACACGUGGAUAACCUACCUAUAAGACUGGGAUAACUUCGGGAAACCGGAGCUAAUACCGGAUAAUAUAUUGAACCGCAUGGUUCAAUAGUGAAAGACGGUUUUGCUGUCACUUAUAGAUGGAUCCGCGCCGCAUUAGCUAGUUGGUAAGGUAACGGCUUACCAAGGCAACGAUGCGUAGCCGACCUGAGAGGGUGAUCGGCCACACUGGAACUGAGACACGGUCCAGACUCCUACGGGAGGCAGCAGUAGGGAAUCUUCCGCAAUGGGCGAAAGCCUGACGGAGCAACGCCGCGUGAGUGAUGAAGGUCUUCGGAUCGUAAAACUCUGUUAUUAGGGAAGAACAAAUGUGUAAGUAACUAUGGACGUCUUGACGGUACCUAAUCAGAAAGCCCCGGCUAACUACGUG
RNAcentral lists this ribosomal RNA (497 nucleotides) under uncultured bacterium. RNAcentral describes it as "partial 16S ribosomal RNA". It matches the Rfam family "Bacterial small subunit ribosomal RNA", at positions 28 to 507 of the family's 1533-position model. The record is from RNAcentral.